GACGAACGCUGGCGGCGUGCUUAACACAUGCAAGUCGAACGGAAAGGCCUCUUUCGGGGGGUACUCGAGUGGCGAACGAGUGAGUAACACGUGAGUAACCUGCCCUUGACUUUGGGAUAACUUCAGGAAACUGGGGCUAAUACCGGAUAGGAGCUCCUGCUGCAUGGUGGGGGUUGGAAAGUUUCGGCGGUUGGGGAUGGACUCGCGGCUUAUCAGCUUGUUGGUGGGGUAGUGGCUUACCAAGGCUUUGACGGGUAGCCGGCCUGAGAGGGUGACCGGCCACAAUGGGACUGAGAUACGGCCCAGACUCCUACGGGAGGCAGCAGUGGGGAAUAUUGCACAAUGGGUGGAAGCCUGAUGCAGCAACGCCGUGUGCGGGAUGACGGCCUUCGGGUUGUAAACCGCUUUCGCUCAUGACGAAGCUUUGUGUGACGGUAGUGGGUAAAGAAGCACCGGCUAACUACGUG
RNAcentral lists this ribosomal RNA (467 nucleotides) under uncultured bacterium. RNAcentral's name for it is "partial 16S ribosomal RNA". It matches the Rfam family "Bacterial small subunit ribosomal RNA", at positions 28 to 507 of the family's 1533-position model. The record is from RNAcentral.